This 989-nucleotide ribosomal RNA is filed under the name Shewanella decolorationis. RNAcentral describes it as "bacterial SSU rRNA". It matches the Rfam family "Bacterial small subunit ribosomal RNA", at positions 37 to 1008 of the family's 1533-position model. The record is from RNAcentral. Lineage: Bacteria; Pseudomonadati; Pseudomonadota; Gammaproteobacteria; Alteromonadales; Shewanellaceae.
UGGAGGCGGCGGCUACACAUGCAGUCGAGCGGCAGCACAAGUGAGUUUACUCCUGAGGUGGCGAGCGGCGGACGGGUGAGUAAUGCCUAGGGAUCUGCCCAGUCGAGGGGGAUAACAGUUGGAAACGACUGCUAAUACCGCAUACGCCCUACGGGGGAAAGGAGGGGACCUUUUGGCCUUCCGCGAUUGGAUGAACCUAGGUGGGAUUAGCUAGUUGGUGAGGUAAUGGCUCACCAAGGCGACGAUCCCUAGCUGUUCUGAGAGGAUGAUCAGCCACACUGGGACUGAGACACGACACAUACUUAUACGGGAGGCAGCAGUGGGGAAUAUUGCACAAUGGGGGAAACCCUGAUGCAGCCAUGCCGCGUGUGUGAAGAAGGCCUUCGGGUUGUAAAGCACUUUCAGUAGGGAGGAAAGGUUGUAAGUUAAUACCUUGCAGCUGUGACGUUACCUACAGAAGAAGGACCGGCUAACUCCGUGCCAGCAGCCGCGGUAAUACGGAGGGUCCAAGCGUUAAUCGGAAUUACUGGGCGUAAAGCGUGCGCAGGCGGUUUGUUAAAGCGAGAUGUGAAAGCCCCGGCCUCAACCUGGGAAUUGCAUUUCGAACUGACAAACUAGAGUCUUGGAGAGGGGGGUAGAAUUCCAGGGUGUAGCGGUGAAAUGCGUAGAGAUCUGGAGGAAUACCGGUGGCGAAGGGCGGCCCCCCUGGACAAAGACUGACGCUCAGGCACGAAAGCGUGGGGAGCAAACAGGAUUAGAUAUCCUGGUAGUCCACGCCGGAAACGAUGUCUACUCGGGAGUUGGUGUCUUGAACACUGGGCUCUCAGGCUAACGCAUUAAGUUAGACGGCUGGGGAGUACGGACGCAGGUUUAAACUUCAAUGGAUUGCACCGGGGCGCCGCACAAGCGGUGGAGCAUGUGUUUAAUUCGAUGCCCACGCAAACACCUUAACCUCACCUCUUGACAUUCAAAAGAACUUCCGAGAAAUG